Molecule: ribosomal RNA, 3375 nt
Filed under: Triticum aestivum (bread wheat)
Lineage: Eukaryota; Viridiplantae; Streptophyta; Magnoliopsida; Poales; Poaceae
Description: partial small subunit ribosomal RNA
Source: RNAcentral
AUGGCAUCUUUGUUCACAGGCCUUGCUAGGUUCCUUUGCCUCUUCAGCUUCUUUUGCAGCCUGCCACUAGCCAUCUGCGAUGAAUCCCAAAAUGAUAGACAGGCCCUGCUCUGCUUCAAGUCCCAGCUCUCCGGACCACCCGGAGUUUUGGCUUCAUGGAGUGACGCUUCCCGGGAAUUCUGCGACUGGCGUGGGGUCAUGUGCAGCGCAAUGCCGCCAUUGCGUGUCAUUGCACUGGACCUUGAAUCACAAGGCAUAUCAGGCUCCAUGUCGCCUUGCAUUGCCAACCUCACUUCGCUGGCGAGGCUCCACCUAUCAAACAACAGCUUCCACGGCGGCAUACCGUCCGAGCUCGGCCUCCUGACCCAACUCGCCGACCUCAACCUCAGCAUGAACGCUUUGCAAGGUAACAUCCCGUCUGAACUCUCUGCAUGUUCCCAGCUCCAGGUCCUGGGUUUGGGGAACAAUUCCCUCCAUGGAGAGAUUCCACCUAGCCUUAGUCAAUGCAAAUAUCUUCAAGAGAUUAACCUUAGCAACAACAAGCUCCAAGGGGGCAUCCCUUCUGCUUUUGGAAAUCUUCCUGAGCUGCGCAUACUAGUUCUCGCUAGUAACGGGCUCACCGGCAACAUGCCGCCAUCUCUGGGCAGCAGCCAUGUCCUCACGUACGUCGAUCUUGGGAGGAAUGCUCUCACAGGGGUCAUCCCAAAGUCCUUGGCAAAUAGUUCAGCUCUUCAGGUACUUAGACUCAUGGGAAAUAAUUUUACUGGAGAACUCCCCAAGGCUCUCUUCACCACCUCGUCACUUAUUGCCAUUUGCCUCCAACAGAACAGUUUUGUUGGUUCAGUACCUCCUGUUACUGCCACAUCCCCCCCUGUUAAAUAUCUUGAUUUAAGGAACAACCAUCUUUCAGGAAGGAUACCUUUCUCAUUAGGGAACCUUUCCUCCCUAGUUCAUCUUCGUCUCACAGAUAAUCAGUUAGUUGGGAGCAUCCCAGAGAGCUUAGGCUACAUUCCAACACUGCAGAAACUGAGCUUGAGCGUAAACAACUUAUCUGGGCCAAUUCCACUGUCUCUCCUCAACAUGUCAUCCCUGAGAAUUCUUACCUUAUCGGAAAACUCAUUAAUCGGAAGAUUGCCAUUUGACAUAGGCUACACGCUCCCGAAUAUUCAGGCCUUGUUGCUCUCAAAGAACAAUUUUGAUGGCCCAAUCCCAGCCUCCCUCAUCAAAGCUUACCACCUAUACAUGCUUUACCUGAAUCAUAAUAGCUUUACUGGAUCCAUACCAUUCUUCGGUUCAUUGCCAAAUUUAGAGCAACUUGAUUUGGCACACAACAACCUAGAGGCAGGUGAUUGGGGAUUUGUCUCUUCACUCUCACAUUGUACUAGGUUAACUAAACUGAUGCUGGAUAGCAACAAUCUCCAAGGGAAACUGCCAAGUUCAAUCGGUAAUCUUUCCAAUAGUCUUCAGUGGUUGCUGCUAAGUAGCAACAACAUUUCUGGACCUAUACCAUCGGAGAUUGGUAACCUUAAGAGCCUCAACAUCUUGUACAUGAGUAACAACAGUCUCACUGGCAAUAUACCAGCAACACUUGGGAAUUUACAAAGUUUGGUUGAUCUAUCCCUUUCACAGAACAUGCUUUCAGGCCUAAUUCCAGAUAUUACUGGUAAUCUCGUCCAGUUGAGUAUGCUGGAAUUGGAUCACAACAACUUUAGUGGAAGGAUACCCGCAAGUCUAGCAAGAUGUACUCGACUCAAAAUACUCAAUCUUGCUCACAACUCACUGGAUGGGCCAAUACCAAGUAAGAUCUUCAAAAUCUCUACACUCUCUGAAGAGUUAGACUUGUCAUACAAUUAUUUGUCGGGAAGAAUGCCAGAGGAAGUUGGUAGCCUCAUUCAUCUGAAGAAAAUGAACAUGUCAAAUAACAGGCUGUCUGGCAACGUCCCGUCAACUCUCAGCCAGUGUGUGGAUCUGGAGUAUCUUGACAUGCAAAGCAAUUUCUUUGUAGGAAGCAUUCCACAGUCUAUUGCCAGAUUAUCCAGCUUAAAAAAUAUGGAUAUUUCUCAGAAUAAUUUAUCCGGAGAAAUACCAGAGCCCCUCAAAUCCUUGAAAUCCCUCCAGUACCUCAAUUUAUCCUUCAACCAUUUUCAUGGUGAAGUUCCAAGAGGUGGUGUUUUCGACAUUGCUGGUGCAGUGUCAGUUGAAGGAAAUUAUCAUCUCUGUACAAGCAUUCCAACAGGAGGCAUGUCCCUUUGUUCUGCACUGGUUGACAAGAAAAGAAAACACAAGUCAUUGGUUCUGGUCCUAGCGAUUGUGUUGCCGAUUGUUGUUGUCACUAUAAUUAUUUUGUCAUGUAUUGUGGUAAUUUAUCGGAAGAAGAGAAUGCAAUCCAAUCCCCAUUUACAACAUGUCAACGAGCACAUAAAGAACGUAUCAUAUGAAGACGUUGUAAGGGCAACUGAUCGAUUCUCUUCUGCAAACUUAAUUGGUUCUGGAUCAUUUGGAAGGGUUUAUAAGGGCAGUCUCCAGUUUCAAGAUCAAGUUGCCAUCAAGAUUUUUGACCUUGACAUUUAUGGAGCACAUAGGAGCUUCAUAGCAGAGUGUGAAGCCCUUCGUAAUGUGCGCCAUCGAAAUCUUGUAAGAAUCAUUACUUCAUGCUCUUCAGUGGAUCAUACUGGGGCAGAUUUCAAGGCCCUAGUGUUCCCAUACAUGCCAAAUGGUAACCUAGAAAUGUGGCUACAUCCGGCGGAUCAUGAACAUGGUGAAAGAAAUACUCUGUCAUUAAGCCAAAGGAUUAAUGUAGCCUUGGAUGUAGCAUUUGCUUUGGAUUAUCUUCACAACCAGUGUGCAUCUCCAAUUAUACACUGCGACUUGAAGCCAAGCAAUAUUCUUUUGGGUCUUGAUAUGGCUGCAUACGUCAUCGACUUUGGCCUAGCAAAAUUUUUGUUCAGCGCACCAAAUGCACAUCAAGACAGAUCAAUAAGUGCCUGCCACCUAAAAGGAUCCAUAGGAUACAUUCCACCAGAGUACGGCAUGAGUGAACAGAUAUCAACCAAGGGUGAUGUCUACAGUUUUGGGGUGCUUCUGUUACAACUGAUAACAGGGUGCAGUCCAACUGAUGAUAAAUUCAGUGAUGGUAUAAGCCUUCAUGAAUUUGUUGAUAGAGCAUUUACAAAGAAUAUUCAUGAGGUUGUUGAUCCCACAAUGCUACAAGAUGACAUGAAUGCAGCUGACCUGAUGAAGAAUUGUGUUAUCCCACUGAUUGCAAUCGGCCUCUCUUGCUCCGCGACACCACCAAAAGACCGGCCAGAUAUGGGACAAGUUUCUACUGAGAUCCUUAGAAUCAAGCACGCGGCCUCACAAAUGCGUGCCAGAUGA